GGAACUGCGCAUCCUUAACUGAUCGAGGUCACCUAGGAAAGAAUGGUUGGAAAACGUCGGCAGGCGCCGGCCAAUCCUACAGAGCAUGUGACAAAGCCCCAUACGCUCGAGGAUCGGACGCGGUGCCGCCGCUGCCUUUCGGGCCCGUCCCCCCGGAGAGGGGGACGGCGACCCAACACACAAGCCGGGCUUGAGGGCAGCAAUGACGCUCGGACAGGCAUGCCCCCCGGAAUACCAGGGGGCGCAAUGUGCGUUCAAAGACUCGAUGAUUCACUGAAUUCUGCAAUUCACAUUAGUUAUCGCAUUUCGCUGCGUUCUUCAUCGAUGCCGGAACCAAGAGAUCCAUUGUUGAAAGUUUUAACUGAUUGCAUUCAAUCAACUCAGACUGCACGCUUUCAGACAGUGUUCGUGUUGGGGUCUCCGGCGGGCACGGGCCCGGGGGGCAGAGGCGCCCCCCCGGCGGCCGACAAGCGGCGGGCCCGCCGAAGCAACAGGGUACAAUAGACACGGAUGGGAGGUUGGGCCCAAAGGACCCGCACUCGGUAAUGAUCCUUCCGCAGGUUCACCUACCGAAAGGGAAGAAAG
Molecule: unclassified non-coding RNA, 585 nt
Filed under: Aspergillus niger
Lineage: Eukaryota; Fungi; Ascomycota; Eurotiomycetes; Eurotiales; Aspergillaceae
Description: sequence contains ITS1, 5.8S rRNA gene and ITS2
Source: RNAcentral